CCCGCAGGCCGCCUUAUCGCUCCGUCUCACGGGGAGGAAAGUCCGGACACCACAGGGCAGCAUAGCGGGUAACGCCCGUCACUGUGCCGCAGGGCGCGGGAGGACAAGUGCAACAGAAAGUAUGUACAGGUAAUGCUGUAGUGAAACCAGGUAAACUCUAUGCGGUGAAAUGCCAAGUAUACCGGCAAUUAAGGGCUGCCCGCCCAAUGCCGGAGGGUAGGCAGAUAGAGCGUAACAGUAAUGUUGCGCCCAGAUAAAUGAUAAGGCUUCUAAAUUUAUUUAGUUGACAGAAUCCGGCUUACAGGCCUGCAUUAUUU
RNAcentral lists this RNase P RNA (317 nucleotides) under Flavobacterium sp. RNAcentral describes it as "RNase P RNA component class A". It matches the Rfam family "Bacterial RNase P class A". Rfam says of the family: Ribonuclease P (RNase P) is a ubiquitous endoribonuclease, found in archaea, bacteria and eukarya as well as chloroplasts and mitochondria. Its best characterised activity is the generation of mature 5'-ends of tRNAs by cleaving the 5'-leader elements of precursor-tRNAs. The record is from RNAcentral. Lineage: Bacteria; Pseudomonadati; Bacteroidota; Flavobacteriia; Flavobacteriales; Flavobacteriaceae.